This 603-nucleotide ribosomal RNA is filed under the name uncultured Campylobacterota bacterium. RNAcentral describes it as "bacterial SSU rRNA". It matches the Rfam family "Bacterial small subunit ribosomal RNA", at positions 26 to 647 of the family's 1533-position model. Lineage: Bacteria; Pseudomonadati; Campylobacterota. The record is from RNAcentral.
AGAGUGAACGCUGGCGGCGUGCUUACACAUGCAAGUCGAACGAUGAAGCUCUAGCUUGCUAGAGUGGAUUAGUGGCGCACGGGUGAGGAAUAUAUAGCUAAUGUGCCCCAUAGAGGGGGAUAACAGUUGGAAACGACUGCUAAUACCCCAUACUCCUUCUUCUCAUAAGGGAAGUCGGGAAAGUUUUUUCGCUAUGGGAUCGGGCUAUACGGUAUCAGCUUGUUGGUGAGGUAACGGCUCACCAAGGCUAUGACGCCUAUCUGGUCUGAGAGGAUGAUCAGACACACUGGAACUGAGACACGGUCCAGACUCCUACGGGAGGCAGCAGUGGGGAAUACUACACAAUGGAGGCAACUCUGAUGUAGCAACGCCGCGUGGAGGAUGACACAUUUCGGUGCGUAAACUCCUUUUAUAUAGGAAGAUAAUGACGGUACUAUAUGAAUAAGCACCGGCUAACUCCGUGCCAGCAGCCGCGGUAAUACGGAGGGUGCAAGCGUUACUCGGAAUCACUGGGCGUAAAGCGCGCGCAGGCGGCCCCUUAAGUUGGAUGUGAAAUCCUAUGGCUCAACCAUAGAACUGCAUCCAAAACUGAGGGGCUAGAGU